GACGAACGCUGGCGGCGUGCUUAACACAUGCAAGUCGAACGGUAAGGCCCCAGCUUGCUGGGGUACACGAGUGGCGAACGGGUGAGUAACACGUGGGUGACCUGCCCUGCACUUCGGGAUAAGCCUGGGAAACUGGGUCUAAUACCGGAUAGGACCGCACCGUGGGGGUGUGGUGGAAAGUUUUUCGGUGUGGGAUGGGCCCGCGGCCUAUCAGCUUGUUGGUGGGGUAAUGGCCUACCAAGGCGGCGACGGGUAGCCGGCCUGAGAGGGUGGACGGCCACAUUGGGACUGAGACACGGCCCAGACUCCUACGGGAGGCAGCAGUGGGGAAUAUUGCACAAUGGGCGGAAGCCUGAUGCAGCGACGCCGCGUGGGGGAUGACGGCCUUCGGGUUGUAAACUCCUUUCACCAUCGACGAAGGUUUUCUGACGGUAGAUGGAGAAGAAGCACCGGCUAACUACGUG
This 464-nucleotide ribosomal RNA is filed under the name uncultured bacterium. RNAcentral's name for it is "partial 16S ribosomal RNA". It matches the Rfam family "Bacterial small subunit ribosomal RNA", at positions 28 to 507 of the family's 1533-position model. The record is from RNAcentral.